RNAcentral lists this ribosomal RNA (256 nucleotides) under uncultured bacterium. RNAcentral describes it as "partial 16S ribosomal RNA". It matches the Rfam family "Bacterial small subunit ribosomal RNA", at positions 524 to 776 of the family's 1533-position model. The record is from RNAcentral.
UACGUAGGGUGCGAGCGUUUGUCCGGAAUUACUGGGCGUAAAGAGCUCGUAGGUGGUUUGUCGCGUCGUUUGUGUAAGUCCACGGCUUAACUGUGGGAUGGCAGGCGAUACGGGCAUAACUUGAGUGCUGUAGGGGAGACUGGAAUUCCUGGUGUAGCGGUGAAAUGCGCAGAUAUCAGGAGGAACACCGGAUGGCGAAGGCAGGUCUCUGGGCAGUAACUGACGCUGAGGAGCGAAAGCAUGGGUAGCGAACAGG